This 1712-nucleotide long non-coding RNA is filed under the name Citrus maxima (pomelo). RNAcentral describes it as "long non-coding RNA (CMAX_LNC001148)". Lineage: Eukaryota; Viridiplantae; Streptophyta; Magnoliopsida; Sapindales; Rutaceae. The record is from RNAcentral.
CAUCUAUAGGGUAUACAAAUGAUAAUUUUUCUAAAAUAAAAGAUUUAUCCACUUUUUAGGUGAGGAAUAAGGAAACAAUGAAAAAAAAGAUUCUUUGGUUGAGCAAUGAGAGGACGCCACGUCAGCUGUCCUCUGUAGCACCUUAAAAAGCAACAGGAUCACAAGCUUGAGGGAUUGCUACAUAUCCAACAUAGAAGGCAAAAUGGGGGUUGGAGUUUCUUUGCCUCCCAAACCUAUAAACAUCACCAUCUCGGGACCACCAUGCAGAUUACAUAAAUGUCCUUGCCUGAGGAAGGACAUCCAUUGAUUGAGCGCUUUGUGUUCGAAACUAUCAAAACGACCCUCAGGCACACUCCAUAAAAGCUUAAGGACAUCCUCAAACGGUAACUAAUUUUCAUCACUCAAAAAUUACUCUCUCAUCUUCUUCCUCAUAGCAUGUUCAUUAUUUUUAAGAGUUUUAAGUAAGGGUGGCAAGAUAAUCCGGACCCGGACCCGGACCGGACCCGCACGAACCCGGAUGAUUCGGACCGGGUUGAACCCGGAUGAUCCGGAUCGGAUUGAACCCGCACCGGAUGUAUAUUUUAUCCGGAUUCGGUUUUAAUUUUCUUAAACCCGGACUUAUCCCGGUCCGGUUCUGGGUUCACCUGAACUCGGAUUUCCGAAACCCGGACCCGGAUUUUUUGUUUUAAAUAUUAUUUAAUUAAUUUUUUAAAUUAUUAUUUAUAAGUAUAAAAGAAAAAAAAAUGAGAAACAAAACAAACCCUACAUUUCCUACGGCCGCCGCUUCCUCGUGUUCAUUCCCCAUAAUUCAGCAAAUAAAUUCAAAAUCAACGUGGCCCCGAUUCUUUCGACUGAGCAAUUAAAGAAUUGGUUAAAGCUGAUUGAAAGCAUUGAUUUGACCGUACCUCUUUGAUUGCUUAUUCUUCUCAUGUCUUUGACCUUCUCGAAAUCAAAUGAGUUUUUUUAUUAGCCCAAGUCCUGUCGUUGAAGUUUAGCUCAUAUCCCGGUGAAGAAGAGGUCUUGGGUCUGGUUCGGAGAUUUCUCUCUCUCAGUAGUCGGUUCAUCAUCAUCCAUCAAUCAUCAGCAUCACAACAUCGCGACGGUGGCCGCACUUCUCUGCAAGUUUCAAUUUCUACCUUAUGUGUUAAAAUUAGAUUUAUUCUGAGAUUUGGGCUCAAGGAAUUAUGUGGCUUUUUGUGGAAUCAUGUGCUUUUUAUGGAAUCAUGUGGCUUUCUUUGUUUCUUUAAUUUUCCCAUCUUCCUCAUCCUCCACUAUCUUCGCAAGAUCCCAUGAGUUCUAUUUGUUUUUGCAACUACCAAAGAGUCGAAAUUGGCAUGCUUGAAUUUUUUUUUUAAUUUUAGGCAUAUAUCCGGGUUUAAAACCCGCAUUCCGGAAACCCGGACCGGACCCGGAGCUAAAAAAUCCGGGUUAUAUGCAGGUCCGGUAAUUAAAAUUGAUCAUCCGGGUCCGGAACCGAAAAGACUAAACCCGGACCCGGACCUGGAUUUUGCCAUCCCUACUUUUAAGGUCCAUUUGACUUUAAAUCCGCUACCUAUCACUCAAAAUCUAACUUGAGUGUCGAAAUGUGGUUGCCAGCCACCGCUGGCUUGGCCUCUAAUGUUAGCUUUGGCUUUGAUUUGCAGGAUUCAUUCAACUCAAGUUUGGUGGCUUUCAUCUUCAUUUUCAUCCUAUCUUCUUCCCCUUAUCAUUAA